RNAcentral lists this ribosomal RNA (447 nucleotides) under uncultured bacterium. RNAcentral describes it as "bacterial SSU rRNA". It matches the Rfam family "Bacterial small subunit ribosomal RNA", at positions 340 to 779 of the family's 1533-position model. The record is from RNAcentral.
UACGGGAGGCAGCAGUGGGGAAUAUUGCACAAUGGGCGCAAGCCUGAUGCAGCCAUGCCGCGUGUAUGAAGAAGGCCUUCGGGUUGUAAAGUACUUUCAGUCGUGAGGAAGGUGUUAAGGUUAAUAACCUUAGCAAUUGACGUUAGCGACAGAAGAAGCACCGGCUAACUCCGUGCCAGCAGCCGCGGUAAUACGGAGGGUGCGAGCGUUAAUCGGAAUUACUGGGCGUAAAGGGCACGCAGGCGGUUAAUUAAGUUGGAUGUGAAAUCCCCGGGCUUAACCUGGGAAUGGCAUUCAAGACUGGUUAGCUAGAGUCUUGUAGAGGGGGUAGAAUUCCAUGUGUAGCGGUGAAAUGCGUAGAGAUGUGGAGGAAUACCGGUGGCGAAGGCGGCCCCUGGACAAAGACUGACGCUCAUGUGCGAAAGCGUGGGGAGCAAAACAGGGAUU